This 488-nucleotide ribosomal RNA is filed under the name uncultured bacterium. Its description in RNAcentral is "partial 16S ribosomal RNA". It matches the Rfam family "Bacterial small subunit ribosomal RNA", at positions 28 to 507 of the family's 1533-position model. The record is from RNAcentral.
GACGAACGCUGGCGGCGUGCUUAAUACAUGCAAGUCGAACGAAAAGACCCGGCUCUUGCUCCUUUCUCGUUAGGCGCAGACGUGAGUGUCACACGUGUAACCUCCCCUUAUCUUACUGGUAACUCUACGGAACAGCGGCUCAUACCGGUGAUAAUCUCCUGCUCCGUAUUGUUCGUUGGAAAAAGUCGGCUUUUCGGUCUGUUAUCGUGGCGUCUCAGCUGGUGGGUCUGGUAAUGGCUGACCAAGGCUACGAUGGGUAGCCGACCUGAGCGGGUGAUCGGCCACACGGGAACUGAGACACGGUCCAGACUCCUACGGGAGGCAGCAGUAGGGAAUCGUCCGCAAUGGGCGAAAGCCUGACGGAGCAACGCCGCGUGAGGGAUGAAGGUCUUCGGAUCGUAAAACUCGGUUAUUAGGGAAGAACAAAUGUGUAAGUAACUAUGCACGUCUUGACGGUACCUAAUCAGAAAGCCACGGCUAACUACGUG